UAGGGAAGACAUCAAUUCAUUCAAGACUCUCGACAAAGACACUUUAGAUUUAGUCAAAUUUUACUUUAGUAGAUUAGGCUUUUUAAACCAAGUUUUGUAAUAUUGGGCCAAUUUUUGGAAAAAUAGUUUAAGCCCAAUUGUAGAGUAGGACACUUGGCACUAGGGUUUUAGGGUAGGCCCCACCCUAAUUUUUUAGAGGGGACUCACGACAUUUGCC
This 217-nucleotide long non-coding RNA is filed under the name Vigna radiata. RNAcentral describes it as "long non-coding RNA (VRAD_LNC001030)". Lineage: Eukaryota; Viridiplantae; Streptophyta; Magnoliopsida; Fabales; Fabaceae. The record is from RNAcentral.